RNAcentral lists this long non-coding RNA (325 nucleotides) under Oryza sativa (Asian cultivated rice). RNAcentral's name for it is "long non-coding RNA (OSAT_LNC000193)". The record is from RNAcentral. Lineage: Eukaryota; Viridiplantae; Streptophyta; Magnoliopsida; Poales; Poaceae.
AGAAACUUAUAAGAACAGAAUACCAACUGGAUUGUUUGUGUUGUAGGUCAAAAGUAUGAUUUCCAAAAACAUUCUUCAUGAAGCGUCGCGGUUGGCACCUCGCCUCCAUUUGUCAUCUUUGCUCUAGGGAGGAAGUUCUUCAUGAAGCGUCGCGGUUGGCACCUCGCCUCCAUUUGUCAUCUUUGCUCUAGGGAGGAAGUUCUUCAUGAAGCGUCGCGGUUGGCACCUCGCCUCCAUUUGUCAUCUUUACUCUAGGGAGGAAGAGACUUUGCUCACAUCUUUCAAGGUUGUUCUUACACACAAGAAGUGUGGAGUAGUAUCAGAG